UGGGUUGUGGCUCAGUGGUAGAGCACUUAUCUAGCAUAUGGGAGGCCCUGGGUUCGAUCCUCAGCACCACAU
This is a non-coding RNA of Ictidomys tridecemlineatus (thirteen-lined ground squirrel), 72 nucleotides long. The record is from Rfam. NCBI's taxonomy places the organism in Eukaryota, Metazoa, Chordata, Mammalia, Rodentia, Sciuridae.